UUUUAAAUUAUGUGAGAGGCAGUAUGGUGCAGUGGAAAGAGAUCUAUCAGAGCCAGGAAGCAAGGUCCUGCCUCUGGCACAAACUGACUGUGUGAUCCUGGGCAUAUCACUUAGCUUUACCCAUCUAGUGUCUUAGCAGAGAGGUAGGGGGUAGCUAUACUUUGGCAUAUACCUUAAUAUAGGGUAUGAAAUCCUCAUCUGGUAAUGGUAAUAUAUUCCUACAAAAUAGUAGAUUGAGAAAAGAGGGCUUAAAGGAAAAUACCUUAAACUUCUGUCACUUUAACAGGAUAAUUUGUUGCCACUUUGGAAAGAUUAACAGAUCUCUUAGGAAAUUGAGACACAGAAUAGAUAGGUUUUGAUGUGAGGGAGAGGAAAAUUGCAGAACUGUGUGAUUGUAUGGAUAACUAUUUUGGGUGGAGCCUGGAUACGAGACAUAUAGGGAAAUAAAGUCACACUUAAUUGUCUCUACUAUUUUGCCUUCUAUCAUAUAGAUAAGCCAUCCCCCAAUUCGGUUUUCUGGGAAUGUGUUUUUCUAAGCUGCUGGAAUCCUAGGGUUCUUUCACUCUUGCCAGAUUGUGGGUAGCAGAUGUGAACUGAUUAUGAUUUGUUAUCUGCUUAAAAGGGAAGGAUUUCUUUCCAGGUGUCUACUUGGAGAAGGAAGAGUUUUACAGUGAGUUACUGAUUAUUCGUAUUUUUGACAAUUGAUCAAAAAUAUCUUUAAUUCUACAGAGAUGAUCAUGAAACCUGGGGAGCAGGGGAAGGGAGGGAGUUUGCAAUUUCAGGAAAAUCAGAAGACCUUUUUAUUUUAAAAUGUUGUCCCCUUCCCACUCCAACCCUUUUGAGCCCAUUCCCACUGCAAAGGCCAGAGGUUUGCAUUGGCCCUGAUAUUGGUUAUACACACCCUAACUGUUGCUAUGGUGAUCUUUUGGCCUCGGGGAUGAGGUUCCAGUCAGUUCAUCCUAUGAAAACAUAAUUCUCCCUGAAGCAUCUCUUCUCCCCCCCCCCCCCCCCCCCCAGUUCCAGCACAUAACGCAAUUCUGCUCUCCCCAUCCCUCCAUUCUGUCCCCCGCCACCUCACUCCUUGAAUUUUCCAUCUGCCCUCUAUUAUUUGUUUUCUCCUUGUCAAUCUUUCUUUGGAUGGAUUUCUGUUUAUUUCAAAACUAACUUGGGCUCAGCACCACGGAGACAAUGUACUGUGCAGUCUGGUUAGAAUAAUUCCCUUCCUUCACAUGCAUCUCAGACCUGACAUUUGACUCAUCCAAACCAAUCAGACCAUCCCAAGAUGGGAGAUGAAUCCAAAAUAAUCAUCACCUCUGGUGGUUGGUGCCUUUUAUUCACCUUAAAGAUUUUAAGAUAGACUUGCAUUUCCCAAUUUAUGGGCUCAAGGCCCAUUAUAAUGUGUUUGAAUGUGAGGGAAGAGAGGGAAGGAAGAAGGGAGAAAUCCUAGGAGGGACAAUUCUGGUUAAAAGGCAAAAUGGCAAAAUAGAUGGCAUACAUUUCAACAAAUUACUCUGUAAGUAGACCUUCAUGGCCACAUGGUUAGUUUAAAAGUUUCAAGGGAGGUUGUGGAAUUUCUCAUUUUGUAUCUAGGAGACAAGAGAGACUCCUUACUUCAAAUCCCUCUUCUAUUGAUGCCUGGAAUUUUCUUUAAAGGCAGAAAAUUUUCAUUCUACAAUUAGAGACAAAUUUUAAAGUAAGUGCCAACCUUGGAAGAGGAGACAAGAUUGAAAAUCUUACCAAAGUAUAAAUGACUGAUAUGAUUGGUUCCCCUUUUGAGAGCAAACUUUGGUAGCAGAGGACACCAGGGCAAUGGGGACAAUAGUACAAGGAAGGAAUACUACUGAGUGUUAAAAAGAGCAUAGUUUAGAAAUACUGAGUCUUUUUGGCAAAUUUCAAAUUUAUGGUACUGAUCACAGCAUACUACUUGAUAUUACUGACUUCUUUCAGCUCUAUGAUGACUGGUAAUAAACAGUAAUUGUGGUACACUGAUUAAUUCAGUCAUACCUCAUUAAUUCUUAUUAGGAGAAGAGCAGGGAAGUUUCAAGAGGUCAGUCCUAAUUAAGGAAAAAAUUCCAGUUAUCUAAUCCUUAAAGCUAUAUGGAUUGAUGACUUUAAAACUGUGCUAAACAAAUGUUGCCUGGCUCUGAUGAACACAUAAAAGUGUUGUUACUAGCCUAUCCCUUAAAGUGGGUGCUUUAAAAAUACUUUGGGGGCUUUUUCAAUAGUUUUUUAAAAUUAUGAACUCAAUAAUAAAGUGAAACAGAAUUGUCUGAAACUGGGAAUUUAAGUUGUGUACAGUUUGGGUUUUUUAAGAUGUACAUUAAAUUUGACACUGGA
Sarcophilus harrisii (Tasmanian devil) is the source of this 2337-nucleotide long non-coding RNA. NCBI's taxonomy places the organism in Eukaryota, Metazoa, Chordata, Mammalia, Dasyuromorphia, Dasyuridae. The record is from Ensembl.